This 1973-nucleotide long non-coding RNA is filed under the name Ananas comosus (pineapple). RNAcentral describes it as "long non-coding RNA (ACOM_LNC044776)". Lineage: Eukaryota; Viridiplantae; Streptophyta; Magnoliopsida; Poales; Bromeliaceae. The record is from RNAcentral.
AUAAAUAAAAAAAAAACUAAAGAAAGAAAAAAUAGUAAGAAUAUUAAAAUUUUUAAAAAAAAACUAAAGAAUUUUUAAAGAAGUAAGGGCAUGUUUGGUUCGCUUCUUUUUUACCCUUGAAUCGGAAUCGGAAUGGGUGAAUCCGUUUGUGGGUGUUUGGUACGCGGGAGUUCCAUUCCGAUUCCUAUUCUCGAGUGGAAUGGGAAUCCUCCAAUCACCUCAUUUUUCAAUCCGGCCUAGGAUGCCGGAUUGGAAGUUGAAUCCGGACGGAAUGGAUAUUUAUGCGGAUUAAAUUUAUUUUUUCAACUUUUUUAAUUAAAAUAUGAGUUAAAAUUUAAAAAUUAAAUAUAUAAUUUUAAAUUUUAAUUUGAACUUAAAUUAAAAUUUAAAAUUUAAUCAAGUGUUUCGAAUCUAACUUACAAAUUUUAAUUUAAAUUAAAUUUUAAUUUAUAUAAAGUUUUAUUCAAAUUUUAUUUCAAACUUAAAUUAAAUUUAUAGAUUCAAAUUAAAAUUUAAAUUGUAAUUUUAGUUUGAAUUUGAAUAAAUCAAAUUUAGUUUCAUAAUUUGAAUUAUCCACUCAACUUCAAAGUUUAAUUUUUUUAAAAAAAAUAGAUUUAAAAUUUUGACAUUAUUUCAAAAUUUUGAUGUAAAUUUUUAAUAUUUAAUAUUUAAUUUGAAUUUAAAUUAAUAUAUUAUACAGAUAAUGUUAGUAUAUUAAGUUGAUUAUAUUUUUUAUAUCCACCUGAACCAAACGCCGACAAUGAGAAUGAUUUAUUCCGAUUCCGAUUUAGGUGAUGAAUCAAACAGAAUUAGGUAAUGAGUCAUUCUGAUUCCAAUUCCAGCUUAUUUUGAUUCCAAUUCCGAUUCCGACUCCAACUUCGAACCAAACACGCCCUAAAAGUAGAAGAAACUGAAGAAGAAGUACCAAUAGCAGCGGCUGCAAUAAAAGUAUUAAAAUAAAAACAUGAAAAAGGGUAAAUAAAAAAUAAAGAUAAAAUCAUAAGAAUAAUAAAUUAUAUUUACAGCAGCAAUAAAAUAUAAGAAAAAUAAAAAAAAAAUCUAAAGAAGAAGAAUUAGCAUGAACAACAGCAGUUAUAAAGUUACUAGAAGAAAAAAGACAAUGAAAACAACAACAAUAGCAAAAGAAGAAGAAUGAGUAUAUAUAUAUAUAUAUAUAUGGAGCAGGACUGCUGUGCUCUCAGGAGCACGGAGGCUUUCAUGCUCCUAAGCCGUUUUUGAUGAUGGAAUUUCUGAAUUGAUGAUCGGCUCCGUUAGAUUUGAUCUGACGUAUUUGAAGUUUCUAGAAAAUAAUUUUUGUGAUUUUUCGAUAUCAUUUACCUAGCAAUUGAAAGGAUUCAAAAUCAUUAAUUUUUAACGGAUGAAAAUAAAAAUCCUAUAAAAAGUGGUAAUAUAGCAUUAAAAUUUUCGAUCAGAAAUAUUGAUCUUGUUAUAGAUAGUAUAAAAAAUUUUGUAUUAAAAUUUUAUCUAAUUGGAAUACUUCUACACCGUUAAACUUGAAAACGGCAGAUAUCAACCAUUAAAAAUUAUUGAUUUUGAAUCCUUUCGAUCACUAGGUAAAUGAUAUCAAAAAAUCGCAAAAAUUAUUUUCUAGAAUCUUCAAAUACGCUAGAUCAAGUCUAACGGAGCCGAUCAUCGAUUCGGAAAUUCUAUCAUCAAAAAUGGCUCAGGAGCACGAAGGCCUUCGUGCUCCUGAGAGUACAGCAGCCCUGUUCUAUAUAUAUAUAUAUAUGAGUUGAUCUAGGAUACUUUUACAAGUAUCAUCCCCAUGUUGCUAUCAUGUUUUUAGCAAUUGGAUCUACUUUUUGAUUACAAAUAGCCCUUGGAUCAAAUACUAUUCCACCUAUCACCAUCAUCUCAACCUCACAUCUCUCCAUCCAAGGGCUAAAAACACACAAGUAUUACUUGGGUGAUACUUGUAAAAGUAUUCUAGCCCUACUAUAUAUAUAUAUAUA